UCCAGAGCCUGCGAGCUGAGUAUGAG
RNAcentral lists this non-coding RNA (26 nucleotides) under Homo sapiens (human). Lineage: Eukaryota; Metazoa; Chordata; Mammalia; Primates; Hominidae. The record is from RNAcentral.